CAUUCUCUGCGGUGUUUGUUAGCGAGUCAGGUAUUUUCUUGAGCCUAAUUUAUACCUCGGGGGCAUAAAGUCGGUGCUGUGUGCAUGUCCGCAUCAAGCGGAAAGCCUUAUGCGCCCCUGCUGUCCCCACUUGAACCUACUGGUUCAAGAACGACGAUAAGCAACGGCACAAGCGGAGAAUGC
Molecule: non-coding RNA, 183 nt
Filed under: Sedimenticola sp.
Lineage: Bacteria; Pseudomonadati; Pseudomonadota; Gammaproteobacteria; Chromatiales; Sedimenticolaceae
Description: 6S RNA
Rfam family: 6S / SsrS RNA
About the family: E. coli 6S RNA was the first non coding RNA to be sequenced, but its function was unknown until recently. It consists of 184 nucleotides that fold into an extended hairpin structure with a large single-stranded internal bulge.
Source: RNAcentral